RNAcentral lists this ribosomal RNA (1103 nucleotides) under uncultured bacterium. RNAcentral describes it as "bacterial SSU rRNA". It matches the Rfam family "Bacterial small subunit ribosomal RNA". The record is from RNAcentral.
CCUCGAGCGCCUCUAAGCGUGUAAGUCUUCACCCUCGAGCACAUGUCCGGAUCCCGGGAAGAGGACCGCCAUAUUUCCGUCCCCAGCCCGUAUAUCCAGAGGGCUAGGUUUUUGGAUACUCGAGUUAAACCCAUGUCGCCGAUUUUAGUCAGGGGUCAAUCCUGAGCUCACUUCGGAACUGCCUUGAUCUAGGGUUACUGAGUAUGCAGAGUAAGUGCACUGCGAGUGUAGAGCUGAACUUCGUAGAUUUUCGCAUGACACCAGUGCCGACAGGCGGCUUAUUGUUCCAUUGCUGACGCUGAUGUGCGAAGCGUGGGGAGCUAAUCAGCAUGAGAUACCCUGGUAGUCCACGCCGUAAACGAUAAUAUUUAGCCGUCAAGGCAGUUGACUGUCGAGUGCCCAGCUAACGCCAUUAACCUUUCCCCUGGGGAGACGGUCACUACGAUAAUCAUCAAGGGAAUUGCCGGGGGGCGCACACAAACGCGGAAACAUGUGCUUUAAUUGAAUGCAGCGCAAGAACCUAACUCAUCUCUUGACGGGGGUCGCACAAGGAGUGGAGCAUGUGGAUUAAUUCGAAGCACCCAGCAGAACCUUACCAGCUCUUGACAUUCGGGGUUUGGGCAGUGGAGACAUUGUCCUUCAGUUAGGCUGGCCCCAGAACAGGUGCUGCAUGGCUGUCGUCAGCUCGUGUCGUGAGAUGUUGGGUUAAGUCCCGCAACGAGCGCAACCCUCGCCCUUAGUUGCCAGCAUUUAGUUGGGCACUCUAAGGGGACUGCCGGUGAUAAGCCGAGAGGAAGGUGGGGAUGACGUCAAGUCCUCAUGGCCCUUACGGGCUGGGCUACACACGUGCUACAAUGGUGGUGACAGUGGGCAGCGAGACAGCGAUGUCGAGCUAAUCUCCAAAAGCCAUCUCAGUUCGGAUUGCACUCUGCAACUCGAGUGCAUGAAGUUGGAAUCGCUAGUAAUCGCAGAUCAGCAUGCUGCGGUGAAUACGUUCCCGGGCCUUGUACACACCGCCCGUCACACCAUGGGAGUUGGUUUUACCCGAAGGCGCUGCGCUAACCGCAAGGGGGCAGGCGACCACGUAGGUACAGCGGUCGGCU